GGUCCUGUGGCCCAAUGGAUAAGGCGCCUGACUACGAAUCAGGAGAUUCCUGGUUCGAGUCCUGGCAGGAUCG
RNAcentral lists this transfer RNA (73 nucleotides) under Ciona intestinalis (vase tunicate). RNAcentral's name for it is "tRNA-Arg (ACG) (tRNA-Arg-ACG-6-1)". It matches the Rfam family "tRNA". From Rfam's summary of the family: Transfer RNA (tRNA) molecules are approximately 80 nucleotides in length. Their secondary structure includes four short double-helical elements and three loops (D, anti-codon, and T loops). Lineage: Eukaryota; Metazoa; Chordata; Ascidiacea; Phlebobranchia; Cionidae. The record is from Rfam by way of RNAcentral.